CCUACGUGCGGCAGCAGUGGGGGAUAUUGCACAAUGGGGGAAACCCUGAUGCAGCGACGCCGCGUGAGUGAAGAAGUAUUUCGGGUUGUAAACUUCUUUUGUCAGGGACGAAGCAAGUGACGGUACCUGACGAAUAAGCCACGGCUAACUACGUGCCAGCAGCCGCGGUAAUACGUAGGUGGCAAGCGUUAUCCGGAUUUACUGGGUGUAAAGGGCGUGUAGGCGGGACUGCAAGUCAGAUGUGAAAACCAUGGGCUCAACCUGUGGCCUGCAUUUGAAACUGUAGUUCUUGAGGGCUGGAGAGGCAGACGGAAUUCCUGGUGUAGCGGUGAAAUGCGUAGAUAUUAGGAGGAACACCAGUGGCGAAGGCGGUCUGCUGGACAGCAACUGACGCUGAGGCGCGAAAGCGUGGGGAGCAAACAGGAUUAGAUACCCUGGUAGUC
RNAcentral lists this ribosomal RNA (443 nucleotides) under uncultured bacterium. RNAcentral's name for it is "partial 16S ribosomal RNA". It matches the Rfam family "Bacterial small subunit ribosomal RNA", at positions 338 to 795 of the family's 1533-position model. The record is from RNAcentral.